Molecule: long non-coding RNA, 997 nt
Filed under: Apteryx rowi (Okarito brown kiwi)
Lineage: Eukaryota; Metazoa; Chordata; Aves; Apterygiformes; Apterygidae
Description: lncRNA (ENSARWG00000016558.1)
Source: RNAcentral
GCCGGGGCCACCGCGGGCUGCCCGGAGGAGGCUGCGCCGGGGCCUCCCGCCGCCCUCCCCGGGCGAAGCUGGGCUCUCCCUCCUAGGCCCGGCUGUUGCUGCUGCUUCUGGAGACCAAGGUGGAAACCAAGGGAUGACGAACACCAUCGUGCUAAGCCAUGUUCAGGUAGUUGGGUCUGAACUGCAAUAGGUGGCUUUUCCAGUCAUUGACGUUUAUGGAAUCAACCUUAUGCUGUUGUUAGAAGCUUCAUUUUUUUCUGCACUCCAAGCCCAGAAGUAGAGAAGAAGGAAGGAGAAAAACUGACUAAACAAAGCCUUAAAAAGGUAAAUGCUACGCUGAGUUUCUACUAUUUGUUCAAGAAGCUGCAUCCUUCUGAAACUAAGUGAAUAUGAUUAAGGCACUAUUGGCAUACAUUAGAGGCRUUUUAUUGCAUAAAGCAGGAAUAUGUGAGUAUAUAUUUUAGUCAUUUAGGUACUGUUUUCCUUUCCUGUAUUAUCUGAACAUAUCCUACUUAAUAUUUUUGUUGUUUUUUUAUAUUUUUGCCUCUAAGGAAAAAUAACUCAUUUCUGUAACCUGUUAUGUUCACAUGAAGCAAAAGCAAGUUAGAGCGUCUUUGUUUUUUAGCCACGGUGCGAUGAUUGUGAUAGUCCCAAUAUGGAUGUUGCCUAAGUGGUAAAAAAUGUAAAAGUUUUCUCUUUUCUUUCACACAAGCUUGAGUGUGCAUGUCUCAUUGUUCUGGAAUCAAGCUUCCCAGAACUUUCUUUCCUGUAAAAAUUGAGUGAAGUGGUCAUACAUCCCAUUCCAUGGCUACCCCUUCCCUUCCUUGCCAUGGGAAUCCAGCUCUGCAUAAUCACUGCUUCUAAUGCUCGCUUUCCUUCAUGCCUUCCCAGCCACACUGCAGAAGCCUGCUGCAGCGUGUGCCACAAAGUGACCUGUAUCAGAGACAUGAAUCAGACCAGUUGCCUUGAAGAUCUCCAUAUAGGAAUCCUCCAUUAA